CUGGAAGAAAAGAGGAUGAGGGAAACCUUUCCCUUGUGUAGUUUUGUGCUCUGAUUUAAUUUUUUUUACCAUAUGUAUUUUUUUCCAGUUAAAAA
Vicugna pacos (alpaca) is the source of this 95-nucleotide non-coding RNA. The record is from RefSeq and is a predicted model, not a curated record. Lineage: Eukaryota; Metazoa; Chordata; Mammalia; Artiodactyla; Camelidae.